This 225-nucleotide unclassified non-coding RNA is filed under the name Hevea brasiliensis (rubber tree). The record is from RNAcentral. Lineage: Eukaryota; Viridiplantae; Streptophyta; Magnoliopsida; Malpighiales; Euphorbiaceae.
CAAUACAAGGAUCCCAUAACUAUACACAUCUCCCUCUUUUGAUGGAAUGCCACCCAAUCCAUACUCUGGAGGCACAUAGCCGACAGUCCCCAAUAUUCCAACUAAGCUGGUUUCAUUUUGUGAUGCAUCAUUGGUUUUCAAGAAUAGCUUAGCCAAACCGAAAUCACUUAAAUAUGCAACCAUGUCAACAUCGAGAAGAACAUUGCUUGGCUUCAAGUCACAAUG